Molecule: long non-coding RNA, 507 nt
Organism: Scylla paramamosain (green mud crab)
Lineage: Eukaryota; Metazoa; Arthropoda; Malacostraca; Decapoda; Portunidae
Exons: 2
Source: RefSeq, a predicted model, not a curated record
CAAGUAUAUAAGAUCAGACAACGGGAGAAUUAACAAGAGACACACUCGCCGCGCAAGAUGAAACUUGUUUUCCUGUUUAUAACCAUGGUGAUGGCUGCAGUGACUGUCACGUGCAGUCCUCUUCCUGGCUACGGAAAUUACAAUUACGGCUACAGUCAUCCCCGGUACAAUUAUGGCGUCAUUACAGCAUAUGUUCCUACCAUCGAACGUGUGAGUUACAUUCACGGACCGCGUUACUAUGGGCCAUCUAUCCACGACGGCAUUUACGGAGCAUACGGCUACGGAAGAGGCCAUUCAUACUAUAACCAUUAACAGAAUGCUGGGAGAGUGAAGUGUCCAGAAACUGUCUCGCGAUGAAACACAAGCAAGUUUUCAAAACCAUCUUGGCAGUAGCUGGCGCUGAAACAUUUCCUUUCUUUUUACUUAUUAUUUACUAGGUGUUCGUGUGUCUUUACAUUUGUUCACUUCCUUUUCUCUCAACUCAUUUAAAUAAAAAUUUAUAAUUGA